ACAGACGGAAACGACUGCUAAUACCGAAUAAGUUCCAAGAGCCGCAUGGCCCAUGGAAGAAAAGGUAGGCUCUACCUGUAAGCUAUCGCCUGAAGAGGGGUUUGCGUCUGAUUAGCUGGUUGGAGGGGUAACGGCCCACCAAGCGACGAUCAGUAGCCGGUCUGAGAGGAUGAACGGCCACACUGGAACUGAGACACGGUCCAGACUCCUACGGGAGGCAGCAUG
This 225-nucleotide ribosomal RNA is filed under the name uncultured bacterium. RNAcentral's name for it is "partial 16S ribosomal RNA". It matches the Rfam family "Bacterial small subunit ribosomal RNA", at positions 146 to 353 of the family's 1533-position model. The record is from RNAcentral.